UACACUGUAAAAAGUGCUACACCCACAAAGUGCAGCAUUUUUCUCGGCUGUUGUUCGCUGCAGCGGAUCUGGAUUUCAGGGACUGGUUAACACGGACCCAUCUGCCUCUGUGGAGAAAAGGAGAGAAGUGGUCCUGAGAUGCCUGAUUGAGUAUGUGGGGGAGAGACAGGAAGACCUCAUCAGUGUCCACCACAGUCAUGAUGAAACAGAGGUGCACGCUGAGCUUGGCAGUUGCCCACUGAAAAUUUACAUAUGCCAUCAGCCCGACAUGAUUGGGAUCAUCAUAGAAGGACAGCCUGUGGUCAGAGGUGUGCCAAACCUGUCGAAAGCAUGCUGCCUCCUGUUUGGACUUACCUAUGCCCUCGACCUCAAGUAUCCCUCAAAAAUGGUGUAUACCUUUGUAUAUAUAUAUAUAUAUAUAUAUAUGUAUGUAUAUAUAUUAUAUCUCUUUGUGGGAUUGGACGCCAUGCGUCCUAAGCCAUCAUCCAAGUAUGCAAAUCUCCUUACCAAGUUGUCUUAGAUUAUUUCUCAGUGGCAUCUGACAUUUAUUGGCUGUUUUGUAGUCCCUGUUAAAAGUGAAACUGGUUGACAUUGAAUAAAUGUUAUUGUUUUCAA
Brienomyrus brachyistius is the source of this 615-nucleotide long non-coding RNA. RefSeq lists it as uncharacterized. NCBI's taxonomy places the organism in Eukaryota, Metazoa, Chordata, Actinopteri, Osteoglossiformes, Mormyridae. The record is from RefSeq and is a predicted model, not a curated record. The transcript has 4 exons.